UUUGUAUCUUUGCCCUGGUGUUGAGCUGAAUUGAACCAGUGUUGCUUGCCCCCUACAGCCUUGGAAAUAUAAUCUCAGGAUGCAAAUAUAAAGAAAGAUGAACAUUCAUUUCGAUUUACAGACUCUGUGCUAAUCAAAUGAUAGGGUUUAUCUGUUGUCUCCAAGUUUUUAGUGAGGCCAGAGGCAUAUGGGGAAUAAUUUUUUCUAGUGAAAUCGUCAUGUGUGCAACAACAAAAGAAGUUGAUAAUCAGCUUGAAUUCUUUGAUAGAAAGAUACAAUGUCACUAAAGAACGCAUAAAACAUUAGAAAAAAAAUUUAAGCAUCGAUUGAUUGUAAUUUAUCAUACACAUUGCAGGAAUAGAGAGAACUUUGAUACUGAUACAAAAUGAUCACUUAUUUAUGCACAAAACCAUAUCUCAAAGAAACAAUAAAUAAAUUUAUGCACAAACACAAAGAAAACCACACAAGAGACAAAAAAAGAAAUAAAUGGAAUCACUUCCAUUACUUCGCGCUGAUAUGUACACAUUUUAUUAUUGCUCUUAAAUUCUCGCUAGCAAAAUCAAUGAAACGAAAAAAAGUAGAAGCAAAUAUUUAUUUACAGUACAAAAGCUAAAGUUUUCAGGCUAGAAAUCUACCAUUUUUUUGUGGUUUUUACUCGACGAGCGCGGCGAAGCAGCUCUCCGUCCGCGCGAGCNNN
This 697-nucleotide long non-coding RNA is filed under the name Oryza brachyantha (malo sina). Its description in RNAcentral is "long non-coding RNA (OBRA_LNC002113)". The record is from RNAcentral. Lineage: Eukaryota; Viridiplantae; Streptophyta; Magnoliopsida; Poales; Poaceae.